RNAcentral lists this ribosomal RNA (253 nucleotides) under uncultured bacterium. RNAcentral's name for it is "partial 16S ribosomal RNA". It matches the Rfam family "Bacterial small subunit ribosomal RNA", at positions 524 to 776 of the family's 1533-position model. The record is from RNAcentral.
GACGAAGGGGGCAAGCGUUGUUCGGAAUCACUGGGCGUAAAGCGCACGUAGGCGGAUUGCUAAGUCAGGGGUGAAAUCCUGGAGCUCAACUCCAGAACUGCCUUUGAUACUGGCGAUCUCGAGUCCGGGAGAGGUGAGUGGAACUGCGAGUGUAGAGGUGAAAUUCGUAGAUAUUAGGAAGAACACCAGUGGCGAAGGCGGCUCACUGGCCCGGUACUGACGCUGAGGCGCGAAAGCGUGGGGAGCAAACAGG